UACGUAGGGUCCGAGCGUUGUCCGGAAUUAUUGGGCGUAAAGAGCUUGUAGGCGGUCUGUCGCGUCUGCUGUGAAAAUCCGGGGCUCAACCCCGGACUUGCAGUGGGUACGGGCAGACUAGAGUGUGGUAGGGGGGUGUGGAAUUCCCAGUGUAGCGGUGAAAUGCGCAGAUAUUGGGAGGAACACCAAUGGCGAAGGCAGCACCCUGGGCCGGUACUGACGCUGAGGAGCGAAAGCGUGGGGAGCGAACAGG
This 253-nucleotide ribosomal RNA is filed under the name uncultured bacterium. RNAcentral describes it as "partial 16S ribosomal RNA". It matches the Rfam family "Bacterial small subunit ribosomal RNA", at positions 524 to 776 of the family's 1533-position model. The record is from RNAcentral.